Molecule: small RNA, 164 nt
Filed under: Chelonoidis abingdonii (Abingdon island giant tortoise)
Lineage: Eukaryota; Metazoa; Chordata; Testudines; Testudinidae
Description: TUC338 (ENSCABG00000015913.1)
Source: RNAcentral
CUGACUACUCUGAAAACAGAAGUCCUCUCUUUAACCACAGAAAAGGUACAGCACAAGCAAGGUAGAAGAGACUUCCCCAUAUUUCUUUCCUAUUUGAUUUACAAGCUCCACUUUCGGGGUGCGAGGAUAGUUCCACAUCCAUUCCUAUUCAAUACUUGGUCACU